Molecule: ribosomal RNA, 433 nt
Filed under: uncultured bacterium
Lineage: Bacteria
Description: partial 16S ribosomal RNA
Rfam family: Bacterial small subunit ribosomal RNA
Source: RNAcentral
AGCGAACGCUGGCGGCAGGCCUAACACAUGCAAGUCGAACGAACUCUUCGGAGUUAGUGGCGGACGGGUGAGUAACACGUGGGAACGUGCCUUUUGGUUCGGAAUAACUCAGGGAAACUUGUGCUAAUACCGAAUGUGCCCUUCGGGGGAAAGAUUUAUCGCCAUUAGAGCGGCCCGCGUCUGAUUAGCUAGUUGGUGAGGUAACGGCUCACCAAGGCGACGAUCAGUAGCUGGUCUGAGAGGAUGACCAGCCACACUGGGACUGAGACACGGCCCAGACUCCUACGGGAGGCAGCAGUGGGGAAUCUUGCGCAAUGGGCGAAAGCCUGACGCAGCCAUGCCGCGUGAAUGAUGAAGGUCUUAGGAUUGUAAAAUUCUUUCACCGGGGACGAUAAUGACGGUGCCCGGAGAAGAAGCCCCGGCUAACUUCGUG